RNAcentral lists this ribosomal RNA (686 nucleotides) under Salmonella enterica subsp. enterica serovar 1,4,[5],12:i:-. Its description in RNAcentral is "bacterial SSU rRNA". It matches the Rfam family "Bacterial small subunit ribosomal RNA", at positions 22 to 703 of the family's 1533-position model. Lineage: Bacteria; Pseudomonadati; Pseudomonadota; Gammaproteobacteria; Enterobacterales; Enterobacteriaceae. The record is from RNAcentral.
GCUCAGAUUGAACGCUGGCGGCAGGCCUAACACAUGCAAGUCGAGCGGUAGAGAGAAGCUUGCUUCUCUUGAGAGCGGCGGACGGGUGAGUAAUGCCUAGGAAUCUGCCUGGUAGUGGGGGAUAACGUUCGGAAACGGACGCUAAUACCGCAUACGUCCUACGGGAGAAAGCAGGGGACCUUCGGGCCUUGCGCUAUCAGAUGAGCCUAGGUCGGAUUAGCUAGUUGGUGGGGUAAUGGCUCACCAAGGCGACGAUCCGUAACUGGUCUGAGAGGAUGAUCAGUCACACUGGAACUGAGACACGGUCCAGACUCCUACGGGAGGCAGCAGUGGGGAAUAUUGGACAAUGGGCGAAAGCCUGAUCCAGCCAUGCCGCGUGUGUGAAGAAGGUCUUCGGAUUGUAAAGCACUUUAAGUUGGGAGGAAGGGCAGUUACCUAAUACGUAAUUGUUUUGACGUUACCGACAGAAUAAGCACCGGCUAACUCUGUGCCAGCAGCCGCGGUAAUACAGAGGGUGCAAGCGUUAAUCGGAAUUACUGGGCGUAAAGCGCGCGUAGGUGGUUUGUUAAGUUGGAUGUGAAAUCCCCGGGCUCAACCUGGGAACUGCAUUCAAAACUGACUGACUAGAGUAUGGUAGAGGGUGGUGGAAUUUCCUGUGUAGCGGUGAAAUGCGUAGAUAUAGGAAG